This 67-nucleotide transfer RNA is filed under the name Microcerotermes papuanus. RNAcentral describes it as "tRNA-Ala". The record is from RNAcentral. Lineage: Eukaryota; Metazoa; Arthropoda; Insecta; Blattodea; Termitidae.
GGGACUAUAGUUAAUAAUAACAUUUGAGUUGCAUUCAAAAAGUACUACUUUAUAGUAGUUAGCCUCA